CACUGGUCGAGUCGGCCUGCGCGGAAGAUGUAACGGGGCUAAACCAUGCACCGAAGCUGCGGCAGCGACGCUGAUGCGUUGUUGGGUAGGGGAGCGUUCUGUAAGCCUGCGAAGGUGGCCUGUGAGGGUUGCUGGAGGUAUCAGAAGUGCGAAUGCUGACAUAAGUAACGAUAAAGCGGGUGAAAAGCCCGCUCGCCGGAAGACCAAGGGUUCCUGUCCAACGUUAAUCGGGGCAGGGUGAGUCGACCCCUAAGGCGAGGCCGAAAGGCGUAGUCGAUGGGAAACGGGUUAAUAUUCCCGUACUUGGUGUUACUGCGAAGGGGGGACGGAGAAGGCUAUGUUGGCCGGGCGACGGUUGUCCCGGUUUAAGCGUGUAGGUGUGUGUUCCAGGUAAAUCCGGUUCACUUUAACACUGAGGCGUGAUGACGAGGCACUACGGUGCUGAAGCAACAAAUGCCCUGCUUCCAGGAAAAGCCUCUAAGCAUCAGGUAACAUCAAAUCGUACCCCAAACCGACACAGGUGGUCAGGUAGAGAAUACCAAGGCGCUUGAGAGAACUCGGGUGAAGGAACUAGGCAAAAUGGUGCCGUAACUUCGGGAGAAGGCACGCUGACACGUAGGUGAAGUGAUUUACUCA
Molecule: ribosomal RNA, 636 nt
Filed under: Salmonella enterica subsp. enterica
Lineage: Bacteria; Pseudomonadati; Pseudomonadota; Gammaproteobacteria; Enterobacterales; Enterobacteriaceae
Description: partial 23S ribosomal RNA
Rfam family: Bacterial large subunit ribosomal RNA
Source: RNAcentral